Lathyrus oleraceus (garden pea) is the source of this 2779-nucleotide RNA transcript. RefSeq lists it as uncharacterized. Lineage: Eukaryota; Viridiplantae; Streptophyta; Magnoliopsida; Fabales; Fabaceae. The transcript has 3 exons. The record is from RefSeq and is a predicted model, not a curated record.
UUCUCACAGUUUCUCGGUAGCAUCCAACUUGAGUUUCUCUUUCACGUUGUUUCAUUUUCGUUUUUGUUCUUUGAACCGCUUCCAAUGGUGGUACUAAUUCACCAUCAUUGACGCUCGUUCUUUUUUGUUUAUUUUAUUUUAUAACUAGGGAACUCUAGUCACGGCUUCAGUUCAGCACCUGGUUGGAACAACUCUCCUCUUCUCUGGCAACACAUUGAAAGACCAGAAACUUCAAUAGCAUACCAUAUCAAGCUAUUAUUCAAGUACAUCAGCAUAAAGCUAAAGAAGAAGCUAUAAUCAAUGACCUAGAAAGGUAAAAAAAAUAUAAUGAGCAGAAGAUAAAUAUAAUAUGAGAAUUGCCUAAGUCAACCACAGUCCAUAAUGUGACACAAAAAUGAAUUGGCAGAAGAUCCUAAGGUUGACAUUAUGGACAUGAGAGCAAGGUUCAUCAAGGGAAAGUUUCAUCAGAAAAAAUGUAAGUAAAGCAUGUCAAUGCUAACAGGUAUCAAAAUCUAAGAAAGAAAACGUAGCUGAAGUUCAAAAUGAAAUGUCCACAAUGAAUAUGUUAAAAACUUAAAUUAUCAACUUUAAUUAUGCAAGGUCCAAAUUAAAGAUAAAGGAGGGUUUUGGAGAGAAGAGAAACGGACAAAAUAGAUAAAUUUUGAAUUUGGAUCAUUUAUCAAAGCCCUCGAAAACCCUCUGUUAGACUCUUCAGUUACAAAACUGAUAUUAAAUUAUUAGGAGUUAAGUGGGACAUUAUUAGAAUAAUUAUACUAUUAAUUAAUAGUGUUUAGGUUUAGAAUAAAUAGGGGAAGACAUUGGGGUGUUGAUUAUCUUGGAAUUGGAUAGGAAAAGGGGUCAUUUUGGCAUUGGGAGGUGCAGGCCCUCGAAGUUCUGCUGUACAAUUGUGUAAUUCAAAGGGAUUUUCCCUAUAUGCUUUUAUAUAUCAGUUGGUUUCUAUCAACUGGUAUCAGAGCACUUCUGAUCCGGGAGAGGAAAUUAAAAAAAAAUGGAGUUGUCAUCAAGAAUAGAAGGAAUAUUUGAUCUUGUUAAUGAAGUGUUGAAAGAAGUUAGAGAUUGGAGAAGAGAACUCAAAGAGUUACGACUAGAAAUACCAACUUUUGAAGGACCCGAUGUUGCUGGAUGGAUUAUCAAGGUAGAGAAAUAUUUUAAUAAAGGAGGUGUAUGAAGCUGUCACAUGGUACCAAUUAUGGAUUUUGGUCAAUCUAAGUUCCACUUGGGGAAAUUUUAAAGAGGCGAUUCUCAAGAAAUUUUGGUCAGAAUUUGAUUUAGCAUAGAAUCGAGCAACGCAAAUGAGAGAAAUGAGAUUCAGCGAUGAACCAAAUAAACGGCCACCGCCACAAUGAUUUGGCCAACAGCCGCUGUUGCUGAAACCUCGAAACGUCGAGUAUCACAUGGUGAUUGUUGUUGUUCCUAAGAUAAAGUCUAGGAAAGAGAAAGCUCCACUAUUGGUGUCACCGUCAUCCCUACAAACGAUCAUGAGAAAAUUGACCGCAGUGAGCAGAUCUGAUCCAGGAGAAAAUUAUCCUAUUUCUUGUAUAACUCAAUCUUUUUGCUUCAAGUUAUGGGAUCCGGGAGGAUACAUUCUUUCACCUUGAGGACAAGGUGGAGAUGACACUUCAAUUAGGGAUAUGUCUGCUUGCUACAGGCUUGGUUUGAGGCAUGAACUUUUGGAACAAGUGUUGUUUAAAGAUGUUCUCGGUCCGAGUAAUAGUUUUGUUGAGCUUUCUGCUCAGGCAGGGGCUCCUUUAGCGUAUUCGAAUUCAAGAUAUAGUUUUUUUGGAGAACCAAAUUGUUUCUGGUGUGUCGAGCUCGCAGUUCGACCAAAGCUAUGUGUUACUUGGUCAUCACAAUAUGUAUCAUCAACAUCCAUAUAGCAAUUUCAUUCAUGACAAUUACCAAGAUCCUCUAGGUAAAGGCAUUAAAUUUUGGUUUGGUUCCAGGAUAUACAUUUAGUGUUUUGACAGAUGAUUUUGAACACUUUACUUGUUAAGAGUUGAAAGGUCAAAAUUCUGCACUUUAACUUGCGUUUGGGAGUAAAAUCCUAAAUUCAUUUCCAAUUGCUAUGUAGGCACAAUAUCCACUAUUAUACUCAAAAAAAAAAAUAGUUCUAUAUAUUAUGUGAAACCAUGUGGUUCUAACUCUGGCGUUACGAUGUCAUGCAUCAUGCAUUACAUGGCUUAUUAUGGCUAGACCAAUUCUCAGGUUGCCAUGCCUCUAGAAAAUGUCAUCACAGCAAAAGGCAUGCCAUGUUAUUGAUCUUAAUGAAAUACCCCAAAUAAAACCGAAAAUAAGGAAGAACCACCCCAAGGUGAUAAAAGAAUGACAGCCGAAAAACCAGGAAGUCGGCCACUCCAAAGUCAUAUCAAUCAAAAGAAAACUCAACUCAAAAGAAGAAGUAUGUGAGAAAGAAAUACUUAAACACAACUCCAACAUAAGUGACAUGGGAAUGCACUAAACAAUUAAUACAUGAUGAGUCUGGCGGCCAAAAGGAUGUGUAGAAGGUCCUUAUACUUUGACAUACCAGAACUACCAAGAGAUGGAAUUUUGCAUGCAUAGAAGAAAAUACAACUACGCGUUUUGGUGGAGAAACUGGCAUAGAGGUCCAGGAAACACAAGCUCUAAAUAUUAAGUGCUCUAAUAGUUGUAGGAUUUGUAAUUUGUAAUAUUUGUGAAAAAUAUUGAGUGCUUGUGGAAAGAAAUACAUUACGGUUGUAUCUUAUUGAAAUUAUAGGUUAAUGUUUUAUAUUCUUUUGUA